Molecule: ribosomal RNA, 1078 nt
Filed under: Staphylococcus aureus
Lineage: Bacteria; Bacillati; Bacillota; Bacilli; Caryophanales; Staphylococcaceae
Description: bacterial SSU rRNA
Rfam family: Bacterial small subunit ribosomal RNA
Source: RNAcentral
UUUAUGGAGAGUUUGAUCCUGGCUCAGGAUGAACGCUGGCGGCGUGCCUAAUACAUGCAAGUCGAGCGAACGGACGAGAAGCUUGCUUCUCUGAUGUUAGCGGCGGACGGGUGAGUAACACGUGGAUAACCUACCUAUAAGACUGGGAUAACUUCGGGAAACCGGAGCUAAUACCGGAUAAUAUUUUGAACCGCAUGGUUCAAAAGUGAAAGACGGUCUUGCUGUCACUUAUAGAUGGAUCCGCGCUGCAUUAGCUAGUUGGUAAGGUAACGGCUUACCAAGGCAACGAUGCAUAGCCGACCUGAGAGGGUGAUCGGCCACACUGGAACUGAGACACGGUCCAGACUCCUACGGGAGGCAGCAGUAGGGAAUCUUCCGCAAUGGGCGAAAGCCUGACGGAGCAACGCCGCGUGAGUGAUGAAGGUCUUCGGAUCGUAAAACUCUGUUAUUAGGGAAGAACAUAUGUGUAAGUAACUGUGCACAUCUUGACGGUACCUAAUCAGAAAGCCACGGCUAACUACGUGCCAGCAGCCGCGGUAAUACGUAGGUGGCAAGCGUUAUCCGGAAUUAUUGGGCGUAAAGCGCGCGUAGGCGGUUUUUUAAGUCUGAUGUGAAAGCCCACGGCUCAACCGUGGAGGGUCAUUGGAAACUGGAAAACUUGAGUGCAGAAGAGGAAAGUGGAAUUCCAUGUGUAGCGGUGAAAUGCGCAGAGAUAUGGAGGAACACCAGUGGCGAAGGCGACUUUCUGGUCUGUAACUGACGCUGAUGUGCGAAAGCGUGGGGAUCAAACAGGAUUAGAUACCCUGGUAGUCCACGCCGUAAACGAUGAGUGCUAAGUGUUAGGGGGUUUCCGCCCCUUAGUGCUGCAGCUAACGCAUUAAGCACUCCGCCUGGGGAGUACGACCGCAAGGUUGAAACUCAAAGGAAUUGACGGGGACCCGCACAAGCGGUGGAGCAUGUGGUUUAAUUCGAAGCAACGCGAAGAACCUUACCAAAUCUUGACAUCCUUUGACAACUCUAGAGAUAGAGCCUUCCCCUUCGGGGGACAAAGUGACAGGUGGUGCAUGGUUGUCGUCAG